Molecule: ribosomal RNA, 1361 nt
Filed under: uncultured bacterium
Lineage: Bacteria
Description: bacterial SSU rRNA
Rfam family: Bacterial small subunit ribosomal RNA
Source: RNAcentral
AUUGAACGCUGGCGGCAGGCCUAACACAUGCAAGUCGAGCGGUAGCACAGAGAGCUUGCUCUCGGGUGACGAGCGGCGGACGGGUGAGUAAUGUCUGGGAAACUGCCUGAUGGAGGGGGAUAACUACUGGAAACGGUAGCUAAUACCGCAUAAUGUCGCAAGACCAAAGUGGGGGACCUUCGGGCCUCAUGCCAUCAGAUGUGCCCAGAUGGGAUUAGCUAGUAGGUGGGGUAACGGCUCACCUAGGCGACGAUCCCUAGCUGGUCUGAGGGGAUGACCAGCCACACUGGAACUGAGACACGGUCCAGACUCCUACGGGAGGCAGCAGUGGGGAAUAUUGCACAAUGGGCGCAAGCCUGAUGCAGCCAUGCCGCGUGUGUGAAGAAGGCCUUCGGGUUGUAAAGCACUUUCAGCGGGGAGGAAGGCGUUAAGGUUAAUAACCUUGGCGAUUGACGUUACCCGCAGAAGAAGCACCGGCUAACUCCGUGCCAGCAGCCGCGGUAAUACGGAGGGUGCAAGCGUUAAUCGGAAUUACUGGGCGUAAAGCGCACGCAGGCGGUCUGUCAAGUCGGAUGUGAAAUCCCCGGGCUCAACCUGGGAACUGCAUUCGAAACUGGCAGGCUAGAGUCUUGUAGAGGGGGGUAGAAUUCCAGGUGUAGCGGUGAAAUGCGUAGAGAUCUGGAGGAAUACCGGUGGCGAAGGCGGCCCCCUGGACAAAGACUGACGCUCAGGUGCGAAAGCGUGGGGAGCAAACAGGAUUAGAUGCCCUGGUAGUCCACGCCGUAAACGAUGUCGAUUUGGAGGUUGUGCCCUUGAGGCGUGGCUUCCGGAGCUAACGCGUUAAAUCGACCGCCUGGGGAGUACGGCCGCAAGGUUAAAACUCAAAUGAAUUGACGGGGGCCCGCACAAGCGGUGGAGCAUGUGGUUUAAUUCGAUGCAACGCGAAGAACCUUACCUGGUCUUGACAUCCACAGAACUUUCCAGAGAUGGAUUGGUGCCUUCGGGAACUGUGAGACAGGUGCUGCAUGGCUGUCGUCAGCUCGUGUUGUGAAAUGUUGGGUUAAGUCCCGCAACGAGCGCAACCCUUAUCCUUUGUUGCCAGCGGUUAGGCCGGGAACUCAAAGGAGACUGCCAGUGAUAAACUGGAGGAAGGUGGGGAUGACGUCAAGUCAUCAUGGCCCUUACGACCAGGGCUACACACGUGCUACAAUGGCAUAUACAAAGAGAAGCGACCUCGCGAGAGCAAGCGGACCUCAUAAAGUAUGUCGUAGUCCGGAUUGGAGUCUGCAACUCGACUCCAUGAAGUCGGAAUCGCUAGUAAUCGUAGAUCAGAAUGCUACGGUGAAUACGUUCCCGGGCCU